Molecule: non-coding RNA, 894 nt
Organism: Manis javanica (Malayan pangolin)
Lineage: Eukaryota; Metazoa; Chordata; Mammalia; Pholidota; Manidae
Source: RefSeq, a predicted model, not a curated record
GCGUUUGUUCCUUCUAUGUAGGCACAGACUCUGGGUGCUAUGAACAUGCUCUUCAGAUAAGCAACGUUCAGUGGGCUUUAAACUGCAAAACAACCUGUUCGUUGUAAUCCAGCAACUCCGUGCUACUCCAAAAUAAAUGCUUGCAAGAAGCUAAAGGACAGUGAGUGGACUGACCAUCUAUCCUUGAAUUUGUGGACAGCCCCCCACCCCGAAUAUGACUUACAAGCCGGCAAAAGACAAGAGACACAGCUUCAGAAAGUUCUAGUGGCCUUCGUCAGAGCUGACUGCUGAUUUCCAACCCGGCCCACCUUCAGCAGUUUCUGUCCCUUUUCAAGACUCCACUCAGCAUGGGUGUGUUCCAUUUAAGACUGAAGAGCCCUGUGGAUAAAUCAAAAUGCCAUAGAGAUCUUCUUAGCAAGGACUCAAAUCAAAACUUACUCUGGCCUCGGCAUGCUGGGUAGACAUAAGACAGACUUCCUACAGAUUAAUUUCCCAGAGAGAAGAUGCAUGCGAGCAAACUGUAAGAAGUUAUGAGGGUAAUUCAACCAGCAGUUUUUGUAUAUGCUAAUUCUUGCUACCCUCAUUCAUCAGAAUUCUAGAGUUAAUUGAGCUUCCCACAUGCGAGAAUUCUAACAGAUAGGGAAACAAUUUUGUGUGUGUGUGGGAAAAAUAACACUGCAAGAAAACAGUCUCAGCUAUGCUGUGUUUAUGACUAAGGUUUGAAAAAACAUGCUAACCAUCCCAGCAUUCUUAAGAUAAUCAUUUGAGGAUAUUUGAAAUAAUGCAUUCCAUAUAGUUCUGUAAUUAAGAUAAAAUGAACUGCUGGAAUAGAUUAUUCUACCAUUAUUCAACCUGAUGUCUUUUUAUCUAACACUGGCAGAAUAUUCAUAUUAA